This is a long non-coding RNA of Silurus meridionalis, 156 nucleotides long. RefSeq lists it as uncharacterized. The record is from RefSeq and is a predicted model, not a curated record. The transcript has 2 exons. Lineage: Eukaryota; Metazoa; Chordata; Actinopteri; Siluriformes; Siluridae.
UGUGUGUGUGUGUGUGUGUGUGUGUGUGUGUGUGUGUGUGUGUGUGUGUGUGUGUGUGUGUGUGUGUGUGUGUGCAGGCACUAAAGAUGGCACUGAUCCCAUACUGGGUUGAUCACCUGAUACUAGUAAGAAAUGGAGAUCAGAUCAGAGAGAAAA